This 423-nucleotide ribosomal RNA is filed under the name uncultured archaeon. RNAcentral describes it as "partial 16S ribosomal RNA". It matches the Rfam family "Archaeal small subunit ribosomal RNA", at positions 323 to 746 of the family's 1478-position model. The record is from RNAcentral.
CUACGGGCGGCAGCAGUUAGGAAUAAUCUACAAUGCGCGCAAGCGUGAUAGUUUGAGCCAGAGUGCGUUUCAUUCGAAACGCUUUUGUGAAAUGUAAAAAGUUUCACGAAUAAGGACUGGGUAAGACGAGUGCCAGCCGCCGCGGUAAUACUCGCGGUCCAAGUCGCAGCCAUUUUUAUUGGGUCUAAAACAUCCGUAGCUUGUUUUGAAAGUUUCUUGUGAAAUUUUAUGUCGUAAACAUGAAGCGGGCAAGAAAUACUACAAAGCUAGAGACUGGGAGGCGUAAGAAGGUACGUUCGAAGUAGCGGUAAAAUGUGUUAAUCUCGGACGGACUAACAAUUAGCGAAGGCAUCUUACGAGAACAGUUCUGACAGUAAGGGAUGAAGGCCAGGGGCGCAAAACGGAUUAGAUACCCGCGUAGUC